AUGACGGUACCGGAAGAGGAAGCCCGGGCUAACUUCGUGCCAGCAGCCGCGGUAAUCAGAGGCGGCAAGCGUUGUUCGGAAUUAUUGGGCGUAAAGGGCGCGUAGGCGGCUUGGCAAGUCAGUUGUGAAAGUCUUCGGGCUCAACGGAAGAACGGCAUCUGAUACUACAGGGCUUGAGUAUGGGAGAGGUGAGUGGAAUUCCGGUGUAGCGGUGAAAUGCGUAGAUAUCAGAAGGAA
Molecule: ribosomal RNA, 237 nt
Filed under: uncultured bacterium
Lineage: Bacteria
Description: partial 16S ribosomal RNA
Rfam family: Bacterial small subunit ribosomal RNA
Source: RNAcentral